CCUACGGGAGGCAGCAGUGGGGAAUAUUGGACAAUGGGCGAAAGCCUGAUCCAGCAAUGCCGCGUGAGUGAUGAAGGCCUUCGGGUCGUAAAGCUCUUUUACCAGGGAUGAUAAUGACAGUACCUGGAGAAUAAGCUCCGGCUAACUCCGUGCCAGCAGCCGCGGUAAUACGGAGGGAGCUAGCGUUGUUCGGAAUUACUGGGCGUAAAGAGUACGUAGGCGGUUAUUCAAGUCAGAGGUGAAAGCCCGGGGCUCAACCCCGGAACUGCCUUUGAAACUAGAUAACUAGAGUCUUGGAGAGGUUAGUGGAAUUCCGAGUGUAGAGGUGAAAUUCGUAGAUAUUCGGAAGAACACCAGUGGCGAAGGCGACUAACUGGACAAGUACUGACGCUGAGGUACGAAAGCGUGGGGAGCAAACAGGAUUAGAUACCCUGGUAGUCCACGCCGUAAACGAUGAUAACUAGUUGUUCGGUCACUUGGUGACUGAGUGACGCAGCUAACGCAUUAAGUUAUCCGCCUGGGGAUACGGUCGCAAGNUUAAAACUUAAAGAUAUGG
This 556-nucleotide ribosomal RNA is filed under the name uncultured bacterium. RNAcentral's name for it is "bacterial SSU rRNA". It matches the Rfam family "Bacterial small subunit ribosomal RNA", at positions 338 to 912 of the family's 1533-position model. The record is from RNAcentral.